AGCAGCCGCGGUAAUUCCAGCUCCAAUAGCGUAUAUUAAAGUUGUUGCAGUUAAAAAGCUCGUAGUUGAAUUUCGGGAUCAAUAUGUUGGUCGUGCCUCGGUACGUACUAGCUUAUUGGUUUCUCCUUUCUGAAGAACCAUGAUGUCAUUUAUUUGGUGUCGUGGGGAAUCAGGACUGUUACUUUGAAAAAAUUAGAGUGUUUAAAGCAGGCUCACGCUUGAAUACAUUAGCAUGGAAUAAUGAAAUAGGACGUUUGAUUCUAUUUUGUUGGUUUUAGGAUCGACGUAAUGAUUAAUAGGGAUAGUUGGGGGCAUUAGUAUUCAAUUGUCAGAGGUGAAAUUCUUGGAUUUAUUGAAGACUAACUACUGCGAAAGCAUUUGCCAAGGAUGUUUUCAUUAAUCAAGAACGAAAGUUAGGGGAUCGAAGACGAUCAGAUACCGUCGUAGUCCUAACCAUAA
Molecule: ribosomal RNA, 459 nt
Filed under: uncultured Glomus
Lineage: Eukaryota; Fungi; Glomeromycota; Glomeromycetes; Glomerales; Glomeraceae
Description: SSU rRNA
Rfam family: Eukaryotic small subunit ribosomal RNA
Source: RNAcentral